Long non-coding RNA from Oncorhynchus tshawytscha (Chinook salmon), 4473 nucleotides. The record is from Ensembl. NCBI's taxonomy places the organism in Eukaryota, Metazoa, Chordata, Actinopteri, Salmoniformes, Salmonidae.
UGUUUUUGCUCUAAAUAAUAGAUAUUUAUUGUAUUUCACUACGUGACAUGCAGCAUGAAACAUGUACAGUUUUAAAGCAGCAGACAAUCAUAAUACUUGAAGUCCAACAUGAACAAAACGUUUUAUCACAAAUGCACAGAAAGCAUCCAUGAAAGCAAUCACCAGUUAAGGUCAAAGGUAUUGUACUCUCACACAGUGAAACAUGGACAGUAUAGCAGGUCUAAGGUAUUGUACUCUCACACAGUGAAACAUGGACAGUAUAGCAGGUCUAAGGUAUUGUACUCUCACACAGUGAAACAUGGACAGUAUAGCAGGUCUAAGGUAUUGUACUCUCACACAGUGAAACAUGGACAGUAUAGCAGGUCUAAGGCAUUAUACUCUCACACAGUGAAACAUGGACAGUAUAGCAGGUCUAAGGCAUUAUACUCUCACACAGUGAAACAUGGACAUGGAUUUGGGAUUUUGGCUUAUUUUUUUUCAGAGGAUUUGGUUUUCUUUGUGUUUUUUGUGUUCAUUUUUUAAAAGUGCUGGUCCAUCAAGUAUGUCAUUAUCCCUUUAUUGAUAAUGCACCCCUCACCUUCAAUCAGAAUGCAAAGUCGACCUCCAUGAUAAACCCUGGUUUGUGGCACCACCAGUCCUGAUCAGUAGGACUUUCUGGUUUCCUAUGCAACUCUAGACAGGACAAUAAGGGCUGUGCCAGCCAACCACAUUACAGGGAAAUAAUGUUUCCUGUCUCAGGAAUCUGGAAUCCCAACAGGGUCUGGUCAGAGUACAUUAGUUCAGAUACACCUGUUACUGUCAGCCUUUCACUCAAAAGACUGGGCAUUGUUGGCCAACAGAGAUAUUUUUUGUCCGUUGCCUGUCUGUGCGGUCAGUUGGCUCCCUCUACAGGUUGCAGUGAGACCUGCAGGAUGUCCACGUGGUUGUAGAACUCAGGCAUUGGUAGAGAAUAGGAGGAGGAGGAGGUGUGGGCAGAAGAAGACUAACAGAGGCAUAGAAGAGGAAGAGGAGGAGAAAGUGGGGAUAGACUCCUGCUGAAUCUUCUCAAUGAACUCUGUUAGCCAGGGUAACUGGGACCACUUCCUUCUCGCCAGAAUCUCCCUCUCUACCAGCUGUCUGACAAGGAACAGGAAAUUGUUCCACUGCAAAGAAGCACAUGACAAAGAACAUGGAUGGCUCUGAUCUGGGGGAAACCACAGGUAAUAGUUAUUUUGUUAUGGUAAUAUACUGGUAAUACUGAUAUAUUGUAUUGGUAAUACCCUGGUAAUACUGUAAUAGUGUUAUGGUAAUAUACUGGUAUAUUGUUAUGGUAAUAUACUGUUAUAUUGUUAUGGUAAUAUACUGGUAAUACUGUUAUAUUGGUAUGGUAAAAUGCUGGUACUAAUGUUAUAUUGUUAUGGUAAUAUACUGUUAUAUUGUUCUGGUAAUAUACUGGUAGUACUGAUAUAGUGUUAUGGUAAUAUUCUGGUAAUAAUGUUAUGGUGUUAUGGUAAUAUUCUGGUUAUAUUGUUAUGGCAAUAUACCAGCAAUACUAUUAUGUUGUUAUGGUAAUAUACUGGUUAUAUUGUUAUGGCAAUAUAACAGUAAUACUGUUAAAAUCAAAUCAAAUCAAAUUUUAUUUGUCACAUACACAUGGUUAGCAGAUGUUAAUGCGAGUGUAGCGAAAUGCUUGUGCUUCUAGUUCCGACAAUGCAGUAAUAACCAACAAGUAAUCUAACUAACAAUUCCAAAACUACUGUCUUAUACACAGUGUAAGGGGAUAAAGAAUAUGUACAUAAGGAUAUAUGAAUGAGUGAUGGUACAGAGCAGCAUAGGCAAGAUUGUAUUGUAUUAUUAUACAAUUAUUAUUAUUAUUAUUAUAUUGUUAUGGUAAUAUACUGGUAAUACUGUUACUGUAAUACUGUUAUAUUGUUAUGGUAAUACCCUGGUAAUACAGUUAUGGUAAUACCCUGGUAAUACUGUUAUGGUAAUAUACUGGUAAUACUGUUUUGGUAAUACCCUGGUUAUACUGUUAUGGUAAUAUAAUGGUAAUACUGUUAUAUUGUUAUGGAAAUAUCCCGGUUAUAGUGUUAUAUUGGCAUGGUAAUUUACUGGUAAUACUGCAAUAUACUGGCACCACUUAUAUUGUUAUGGUAAUAUACUGUUAUAUUGUUAUAGUAAUAUACUGUUAUAUUGUUAUGGUAAUACCCUGGCAAUAGUGGUAAAUUGUUAUGGUAAUAUACCGGUAAUACUGUUACAUUGUUAUGGUAAUAUACUAGUAAUACUAAUAUAUUGUUAUGGUAAUACCCUGGUAAUACUGUUAUAUUGUUCUGGUGAUAUACUGGUAAUAAUGUUAUAUUGGUAUGGUAAUAUACUGGUAAUAUACCGGUAAUAAUGUUAUAUUGGUAUGGUAAUAUACAGGUAAUAGUUGUAUUGUUAUGGUAAUAUACUGGUAAUAGUUAGAUAUUGUUAUGGUAAUACUGGUAACAUACUGCUUGUAUACUGGUAGAAUAUUGAGCCACAGACAUGUUCAAAAGGUAAAUGAGGCUUACUUCUGAGCCACUGGCCCCGAGGACAGUAGUGAGUGUGAUCUCAAAGAAGAACAAGGGGAGGGGUUCUGAGGAGCAACAGUCUCCUCCCCACAAGACCCCCAGCUGAUCCAGCAGGGCUUGGAUGGUCACUGGGAGCUGUACUGCACUCCUCCUGGAACCACACCACAGGUAGGUCCCCUGACACCACCCACCCACACCCAACCACCAUAAUAACCAUCAUCACCAUAAUAACCACCAUCAUCAUCAUAAUCAUAAUAAAUAUCAACACCAUAAUAACCAUCCCCACCACCAUAAUAACCAUGAACACCAUAAUAACCAUCAUCAUCACCACCACAAUAACCAUCAACACCAUAACCAUCAUCAUCAUAAUAACCAUCAUCAUCACCACCACAAUAACCAUCAUCAUCAUCACCAUAAUAACCAUCAUCACCAUAAUAACCAUCAACACCAUAAUAACCAUCAACACCAUAACCAUAAUUACCAUAAUAACCAUCAUCCCCAUAAUAACCAUCAACACCAUCAUCACCAUAAUAACCAUCAACACCAUAACCAUAAUUACCAUAAUAACCACCAUCCCCAUAAUAACCAUCAACACCAUAAUAACCAUCAACACCAUCAUCACCAUAAUAACCAUCAACACCAUAACCAUAAUUACCAUAAUAACCAUCAUCCCCAUAAUAACCAUCAACACCAUAAUCAUCACCACCACCACAAUAACCAUCAUCAUCACCAUAAUCACCAUAAUAACUAUCCUCACCACCAUAAUAACCAUCAUCACCAUAAUAACCAUCAUUCCCAUAAUAACCAUCAACACCAUAAUAACCAUCAUCACCAUAAUAACCAUCAUCAUCACCACCAUAAUAACCAUCAUCACCAUAAUAACCAUCAUCACCACCACCAUAAUAACCAUCAUCCCCAUAAUAACCAUCAUCAUCACCACCAUAAUAACCAUCAUCAUCCCCAUAAUAACCAUCAUCAUCACCACCAUAAUAACCAUCAUCAUCCCCAUAAUAACCAUCAUCAUCAUCAUCACCAUAAUAACAUCAUCCCCAUAAUAACCAUCAUCAUCACCACCACAAUAACCACCAUCAUCAUCACCAUAAUCACCAUAAUAACUAUCCUCAUCACCAUAAUAACCAUCAUCACCAUAAUAACCAUCAUUCCCAUAAUAACCAUCAACACCAUAACCAUCAACACCAUAAUAACCAUCAUCACCAUAAUAACCAUCAUCAUCACCACCAUAAUAACCAUCAUCACCAUAAUAACCAUCAUCCCCAUAAUAACCAUCAUCAUCACCACCAUAAGAACCAUCAUCCCCAUAAUAACCAUCAUCCCCAUAAUAACCAUCAUCAUCACCACCAUAAUAACCAUCAUCAUCCCCAUAAUAACCAUCAUCAUCAUCCCCAUAAUAACCAUCAUCCCCAUAAUAACCAUCAUCCCCAUAAUAACCAUCAUCCCCAUAAUAACCAUCAUCAUCACCACCAUAAUAACCAUCAUCCCCAUAAUAACAAUCAUCACCAUAAUAACCAUCAUCACCAUAAUAACCAUCAUCACCACCAUAAUAACCAUCAUCCCCAUAAUAACGAUCAUCACCAUAAUAACCAUCAUCCCCAUAAUAACGAUCAUCACCAUAAUAACGAUCACCAUAAUAACGAUCAUCACCAUAAUAACCAUCAUCACAAUAACCAUCAUCACCACCAUAAUAACCAUCAUCCCCAUAAUAACCAUCAUCACCAUAAUAACCAUCAUCACCAUAAUAACCAUCAUCACCAUAAUAAUGUCAAAGCCACCUUGCCUUUUCCUGUCUUGGUGUCCGUGGCUGUUCCUGGGUGCCGUCGCAGCACCGGCCCCACUUCCAGUCUUAGCCUCGGCCCCACCCACACCACCAGUCUCUGAGGGCACUGAGCUGGGACGAGACUGGAUGUUCUCAGACGUGGUGAGA